UGAUGGCUUUGAAGGUAUCUGUGC
This 24-nucleotide non-coding RNA is filed under the name Cricetulus griseus (Chinese hamster). Lineage: Eukaryota; Metazoa; Chordata; Mammalia; Rodentia; Cricetidae. The record is from RNAcentral.